GUGGCCUGGUAUGGUUCCCAAUCAGAGGCAGCUGUUUAUCAUUGUCUCUGAUUGGGGAUCAUAUUUAGGCAGCCAUUUCCCCACUAUGUUUUGUGGGAUGUUGUUUUUGUGUUGUUGCCUUUGAGCACUUCAUUUACAUCACGUUCGGUGUUUCUUUAUUUUGUAUUGUUCUAAGUUCCACUUCAAUAAAUAUGUGGAACCCAGAUCACGCAGUGCUUUGGUCCGAGUAUGCUUCCAACGAUGAUCGUGACACAUUGUCCAUUUGGAAGACCCAUUUGCAACCAAGCUUUAACUUCCUUACUGAUGUCUUGAGAUGUUGCUUCAAUAUAUCAACAAUUUUCCUUCCUCAUGACGCCAUCUAUUUUGUGAACUGCAUCAGUCCCUCCUGCAGCAAAGCACACCAACAACAUGAUGCUGCCACCCCUGUGCUUCACGGUUGGGAUGGUGUUCUUCGGCUUGCAAGCCUCCCCCUUUUUCCUCCAAACAUAAUGAUGGUCAUUAUGGCCAAACAGUUCUAUUUUUGUUUCAUCAGACCAGAGGACAUUUCUCCAAAAAUUACAAUCUUUGUCCCCAUGUGCAGUUGCAAACCGUAGUCUGGCUUUUUUAUGGCGGUUUUGGAGCAGUGGCUUCUUCCUUGCUGAGAGGCCUUUCAGGUUAUGUUGAUAUAGGACUCGUUUUACUGUGGAUAUAGAUACUUUUGUACCUGUUUCCUCCAGCAUCUUCACAAGGUCCUUUGCUGAUGUUCUGGGAUUGAUGCGCACUUUUCGCACACAAGUACGUUCAUCUCGAGGAGACAGAAUGCGUCUCCUUCCUGAGCGGUAUGAAGGCUGCGUGGUCCCAUGGUGUUUAUACUUGCGUACUAUUGAUUGCACUGAUGAAAGUGGUAUCAGGUGUUUGGAAAUUGCUCCCAAGGAUAAACCAGACUUGUGGAGGUCUACAAUAUUUUUUCUGAAGUCUUGGCUGAUUUCUUUUGAUUUUCCCAUGAGUUUGAAGUUCGAAGGUAGGCCUUGAAAUACAUCUACAGGUACACCUCCAAUAGACUCAAAUUAUGUCAAUUAGCCUAUCAGAAGUUUCUAAAGCCAUGACAUCCUUUCUGGAAUUUUCCAAGCUGUUUAAAGGCACAGUCAAUUUAUUGUAUGUAAACUUCUGACCCACUGGAAUUGUGAUACAGUGAAAUAAUCUGUCUGUAAACAAUUGUUGGAAAAAUUACUUGUGUCAUGCACAAAGUAGAUGUCCUAACCGACUUUCCAGAACUAUAGUUUAUUCACAAGAAAUUUGUGGAGUGGUUGAAAAAUGAGUUUUAAUGACUCAAACCUAAGUGUAUGUAAACUUCCGAGUUCAACAAUAUGUCUCAGUCUGUGAGUCAUGCCGUGGGUAGAGGUCGUUCCCAUGCUGGUUGUGUUGUUUCCCUGCUGGUAGAGGUGGAACUCCACAGAGGUGACUGGAAUGAAGAGGAGGCUUUGGUGUCUGUCUCUACCCUACCGCCUGGUGAGUGAGGUGUCUGUCUCUACCCUACCGCCUGGUGAGUGAGGUUUCUGUCUCUACCCUACCGCCUGGUGAGUGAGGUUUCUGUCUCUACCCUACCGCCUGGUGAGUGAGGUUUCUGUCUCUACCCUACCGCCUGGUGAGUGAGGUGUCUGUCUCUACCCUACCGCCUGGUGACUAAGGUCUUCAAUGUGGAACAGAAACAUCACUAAACAAUGUUAGGCCAGGGAUGACCAGGGGUGUCCUGUGUUAUCUAAACAUUGUGUGUGAGUUAUCUGGAUGUUGUGUGUAUCCUCUGUGCUAGACUGUAGGGAAGAGACGUACCCCUGUACCAGGAUGUACUCUGUCCACCGGCCCAUCAAGAGAUGCAUCCACUCCCUCUGCCUUUACAGGUAAACUGCAACUACAGGUUCUCUCUCACAGGAAAACAUAGACACACUCAGUGCCUCCUGGUCAUGCAGUCAAAGUUCAUUGGUUUCAACCUGAGAGCCUGUACAGAGAGGCAUGUUUUAGAGACAGCAGCUGGGCUCUGAUUAUAGUGUAAUGAUGUAUGUCUCCUGGUUUGUCUCAGCCUCCCUCUAUGUGAUCAACAAGGAGAUAUGUGUUAGAACUGUCUGCCAACAGGAUGAGUACCUGAAGGGUAAGACAGUCCACCUGAUAGCACUUCAUUAGACCCGUUGUUAGGAUUACAACAACAUAACAAUCUUAGAGUGCAUGAAACACUUACUGGCUUUAGGACAGCAUGUACAUCUGAGCCCACACAUCCUCUCUCUCUUCUCUCCAUCCCAGCUGAGCUCUGCAGGGAGCGGUCCGGCUGGCCCAAACGCUUCCAGAGGUCAACCACCAAUAAGAAACGCUGUCACAAUCGCCGCGGCAAUCCCAAAAUCUGGGAAAACAAGGCCUGAUGGGCCCAAGACGGAGGAGUUAGAAGGAGGGGUGGAGGAGGAAGGAGAGGAGGACAGAAAGAGAGAAGGAGGGGUGGAGGAGGAAGGAGAGAAGGAGUAGGAGGGAGGACACCCUUGGAGACAGAACACUGGGUUGUCUCCAUAAAAAGACCCGGAAACACCAUAAAUUCCCCGCUCAACACCUGGUGCUAGCCUGUGCCUUAAUACACAACCACAACCACGCACGCACACACACAAACAAUAUAUAUUUAAAACACAGUCCACGUGACUCCAGUUAAGAGCAGUCUGAGUCAUAUUUUUCAUUUCUUCUAUUGGACCUGUGUUUUAAUAGAACUGUCUGUGAAUAUCAGGGGAGAAAUCACUCCCCACAGAUUGGAC
Oncorhynchus tshawytscha (Chinook salmon) is the source of this 2768-nucleotide long non-coding RNA. The record is from Ensembl. NCBI's taxonomy places the organism in Eukaryota, Metazoa, Chordata, Actinopteri, Salmoniformes, Salmonidae.